RNAcentral lists this ribosomal RNA (301 nucleotides) under uncultured bacterium. Its description in RNAcentral is "partial 16S ribosomal RNA". It matches the Rfam family "Bacterial small subunit ribosomal RNA", at positions 509 to 809 of the family's 1533-position model. The record is from RNAcentral.
CAGUAGCCGCGGGAAUACGAAGGGUGCAAGCGUUAAUCGGAAUUACUGGGCGUAAAGCGUGCGUAGGUGGUGGUUUAAGUCCGUUGUGAAAGCCCUGGGCUCAACCUGGGAAUUGCAGUGGAUACUGGGUCACUAGAGUGUGGUAGAGGAUAGUGGAAUUUCCGGUGUAGCAGUGAAAUGCGUGGAGAUCGGAAGGAACAUCUGUGGCGAAGGCGACUAUCUGGGCCAACACUGACACUGAGGCACGAAAGCGUGGGGAGCAAACAGGAUUAGAUACCCCGGUAGUCCCUGUCUCUUAUAA